GGGGAAUUUUGGACAAUGGGGGAAACCCUGAUCCAGCAAUGCCGCGUGUGCGAAGAAGGCCUUCGGGUUGUAAAGCACUUUUGUCAGGGAAGAAAUCCUUUGGGCUAAUACCCUAGGGGGAUGACGGUACCUGGAGAAUAAGCACCGGCUAACUACGUGCCAGCAGCCGCGGUAAUACGUAGGGUGCAAGCGUUAAUCGGAAUUACUGGGCGUAAAGCGUGCGCAGGCGGUUGUGUAAGACAGGUGUGAAAUCCCCGGGCUUAACCUGGGAAUUGCAUUUGUGACUGCACGACUAGAGUGUGUCAGAGGGGGGUGGAAUUCCACGUGUAGCAGUGAAAUGCGUAGAUAUGUGGAGGAACACCAAUGGCGAAGGCAGCCCCCUGGGAUAACACUGACGCUCAUGCACGAAAGCGUGGGGAGCAAAC
Molecule: ribosomal RNA, 425 nt
Filed under: uncultured bacterium
Lineage: Bacteria
Description: bacterial SSU rRNA
Rfam family: Bacterial small subunit ribosomal RNA
Source: RNAcentral